GGGGGCGAACGGGUCUCGACGGUGAAAGUAUCGGAAAGGUCUGCGAGCCGAGGUUCUGUGUCCUCGUUAAUCACGCAGAAAAAAAACAAACGACGCUGAUUUAGCGUUAGCAGCUUAAAUGCUGCCGUCCGGUUGCAAUCCGCUCCUCAGGGGAGGGCAUCCAGGACGCCGAAAAACCUGAGGACUUCCCUUGUUCUUACCUGCGGAUAGAGGGAUGAUACAAGCAGGUUAUACCGGAUAAGAACCCUGCCAAUCGGGGUCGUAUCCGGCGAAAAAAUAAAAGAUUGGCUACGCUCGUAGGAUAGGCUUUUUUGAGCUUCAUCGGACGCGGGUUCGACUCCCGCCGCCUCCACUA
This 355-nucleotide transfer-messenger RNA is filed under the name bacterium. RNAcentral describes it as "4484-93 sp002085385 Standard tmRNA". It matches the Rfam family "transfer-messenger RNA". Rfam says of the family: Bacterial tmRNA, also known as 10Sa RNA or SsrA, is named for its dual tRNA and mRNA-like properties. Its role is to liberate the mRNA from a stalled ribosome. RNAcentral also lists the same sequence under 1 other name. The record is from RNAcentral.